AUGGUGCUAGGGAAAUUGCCAUUGUACAACAACAGCCGCGAGCCCUUCUUCAAGGUUUUUGUGCUGGUGGAUGAAUCGAUGACAAAGUAUGCUUGUAAGUGGGAGGAGGUAAUGAGCUUGGGAGACUGUGCCUUAUUUUUGGGGAAAAUGUCCAGGGCGGUUGAUGUGCCAGCAGUUGGACUUGGUAGCGUGGAGAGAAACCACAUCUACGCUGAUGAUAUGACAUACUUGACACGUUUGGAUGGUCAUGGUAAUCGUGUAUAUCCUAUGCUAGACGAAAGUAGUGACAAUGUCGCGCAGAGGGUCAAAUUAGCAGGAUCUUAUGUAGCAGCUCGCGAUCAAACUGGCAUGUGGGUACUCCCUCUUGGCAUAUGGGUACUCCCUCCUUAUUUCUAG
Molecule: ribosomal RNA, 396 nt
Filed under: Triticum aestivum (bread wheat)
Lineage: Eukaryota; Viridiplantae; Streptophyta; Magnoliopsida; Poales; Poaceae
Description: partial small subunit ribosomal RNA
Source: RNAcentral